UUGGGGUUGUUGCUGUGCCGUUUUAUUGUCUCUGUUUCGGGGCUAACUCUGGUGGAAUUUGUUGGGCUUUUGCUCUGCUAAUUAUGUUUUGCCUCCAUGCAGGGAUACGUCUGGCAGUUUGCUGGGUCGCUUGUUCCCGGCUGCACCAACAAGGUUCUGGCCACAAGCACUGCAACCGGCUUGGCUCCACCAGUGACCAAGAUCGGUGCUGCGGCAGUGGCGCUCAGCGAUUGUCCAGGUGCUGCUGUGCCUAUGGAGACUGUAGCUGCUGCGGCUUCUGCUUCUGCUGCUGCUGCUGCUGCUGCUUCCUGUGCUGUUGGGUGGGCCGCCAACUGGUCGCUGCUGCUGACGUUGGGCGCUUCGGCAGAGGGUGCGCUGCCGCAGGCGGGAUUGCACUGCUGGCCGGGUAUCUCGGGUAUGGCGCAAGCUCUGCUCGGGUGCGGUCCAAUGUAGAAGGGAUUGAAGGGCCUGUCGUCCGCCAUGGUCUAGCUGGCGAGUGCAACAAGUUUGACACAAGCAGAAGCCAAAAUAAAAGCCAACGAAAUUUAGGCAAAUUUUGUUCGAUUUUCCUGAACUGUUCAGUGUGAGGUUAGCCCCAAAACUGAGCCAAGCAGUCGUCUCGACAGCUGACGGCAGCCGGAACACAACACAAAAGCCAACUUAAUGCUACG
RNAcentral lists this long non-coding RNA (671 nucleotides) under Drosophila guanche. The record is from RNAcentral. Lineage: Eukaryota; Metazoa; Arthropoda; Insecta; Diptera; Drosophilidae.